GUCACAGUCGCCUAAGGGACGGGCAAUAGCCUUCUAAGCUAUCAUUUGUA
Molecule: transfer RNA, 50 nt
Filed under: Euglena sanguinea
Lineage: Eukaryota; Euglenozoa; Euglenophyceae; Euglenales; Euglenaceae
Description: partial tRNA-Arg
Source: RNAcentral